UUCAUUUACAAAUAAAUCUUACUAAUAUCUAUUAUUAUUUUUAUUGAGCAUUGACUAGGUGCUUGGAAAACUCUAAGGGCUUAUAUGUAUGUUCUUAUUUAAUCCUUACAAUAACCUUAUGAGGUAGAUAAUACUAUUUAUCUCCAAUUGAACAGAUGAGGAAAAUGAGGCACAAACACAUUUAGGUCAUUUGCCUUAAUGGUACAGGUGCAAACCCAGGCAGUGAAUCUUGAGCUGUGAUCUUAAUACAACAUCAUAUUACCUCUCUAACUCAUGCUUCAGCACUUUGAAAACAUGCAUAUACUAUGACUAUUCGAAAGUGAUAUUAUAAAAUGUGAGUUCAUUUAUGUAAUUUUAUAGGUUAAAGAAAAAUGUAAACUAUUUAUUACUAAUAGUGGGAAUAGUUUGAUACUUUCAGAUAGGAGUGAAGGCAAGCCUUUGUCCCAGGGUAGCAGAGCUAUAGACUGGGUGAACUUAUGUACAGGUAAUGAGCACAGACAGCAGUCUCGCAGAUCCCAUCAUGCUGGCACGGGCGUGAGGCACAAAGAGCCCCGAGAUAGCCCAACCUGGCCUGGUGCAGAUGCCCACUCCACACAGCACCACAGCCCAGAACCCUGACCAUCCACCAUCUGACAACCUCAACCUCCUGCUUCCCAACAAUCCAUGGGAAAAGGGAAGUGAGGCAGACCUGAAAGGGACCGCAGGACUAACCAAUGGCACUGGUAGUUUUCCAAAUCCUGAUUGGCAUAAAUUUGGACCAAUAGUGUUGAUUCAAGUGCUAUAGAAACCCCUAGACUAGCAUACCCAAGUGGCAACCUGCUAUCAGGUCCCCUCUUGCCCCUGUGAGAGUUUCACACUUGAAUAAAUCCUAUUCCUUUCACUCUUGCCUUCUGUUGUCCCGUGAACUUUAUUCUUUGGAUUUGGAAGACAAGAACCUGAAAAGAAGUUGGCAGUGAGCUGCUGGGGUCUGUUGCAACACUGGAGGACACAGCUUGCCACUCAGAGUUGCAACACAUCAUUCCAUAGUAGUGAAGAAUCAGGCUUUGCUGGCUGCGACUUGGAGCUAAUGUCCAUAGGUAUCCUUUGCUGUGAUUAGCUGCUAACACUAAAACAGGCUUUCUUGGCUGCAGAGGCCUGCAGGAUACACAGACCCAACCACCAACAGAAGUGGAGAAUCUGUUCAAUAGUUUGAUGAGAUGACAAAGUUCUUACACAAAAGAAAAGCCUCUUUUUUUGUUGAUACCUAAAUUUUGUUUGUUUUUCCCCCUGUGUUUAAGUUCUUUGGGAAGAGAGCAAAAGCUCAGUCUAUGAAUUUUUGUUGCCCUAUUUGAAAU
Molecule: long non-coding RNA, 1334 nt
Filed under: Marmota monax (woodchuck)
Lineage: Eukaryota; Metazoa; Chordata; Mammalia; Rodentia; Sciuridae
Source: RNAcentral